AGACAAAAUCUCACGCCACUACCUCGCCAGCAACCCCCUCCAUCGAAAAGCGUUUCGACGCUUGACAUGCUCGUUCUGCCAUAGAGCGCGGCUCCACUCUAUUUGGGGCCUGCCGCAGAGGCACCACCCGCGUGGUGCGAAGCAUGCCGUAGGCACGCGCGCUACCGCAAAUGCGCCGACUCGGCCAUCUGAUUACGGCCCGCGCCACACACUCUGCGCACCCACACGCCUCGCGGGUCGCCUCACAGCCGCGCCGACUAUGCCGGCCGCCAUCCGGUGCAUCCCCCUCGGGGUGGCACCCAGGUUUUCCUCCACUCUGUAGGCAGUGCAAGCGGCGGGUUUGAUGAAGUCGAGUUUAGGCUGACAGCUUGCCCAACGCACGGAUGGCACAGACGCGUUCGCUGCCGCGGGUCGCUCCAACGCAGCGCCAAUCUAGGACCUGACCGCCGGCACACCCGUAACGAUACACCGCUCUGAUCUUCCCACGUCGUCGGUGCUUAAGCGCGUCGCCACCGGAAGUGGGUGGGUGGGGGUGGGGGGCUGCAUGGCCCAUCCUCAUAAGAGGGUGGGAGUGCGCUGGACCGUGCGAUACCGCGCACGGGAGGGGGAGGGGGGUGUCCCUCCCGCCUCCCGGUUAUGAGGGUUUUUGGAAGGAGCGCGCGUGUGCGCAGAUAUUGGCCCCCCUCCCCCUCCUCCUCUUUUCUCUCAUCGUGUUUUGCUUUUUGCUGUUCUCACCGCCCGACAGCGCGGGUGCGGCCUUGGCACCUCUUCCCUCCGUAAAGGGCCCCUCACCCAUCCCUCGCUGUCUAUUGCUCUUGCAGCUCGUGUUAAGGGGCAUUCCUGCGUUACUUGGCGGCUCCCGCUCACUCCUUCAGUCGCGGAACGCGGGGGUGUGCGUCACUUCACAGUUUGCGCGGCGUGUUACACGUGCACGGGCAGGAUGCACUGCGCGCAAAGCUGGAAAAAAAACGGGGGAAAGCGACAGGGCGACGUGCACGACACGGAAGUCAGCGCAGCACGCGAAAAGGCGAGAGACAGUGGGUACCCGCCGCUAAUGUGCACCACCUGCCGGCGUUUUCCCGGUCGGGGCGUGUUUUGUUGUUCCUGCACUAUACAUAUAUGUGUACACGUAUAUAUGUGCUAGGCGUGGUCUCUGUCCUCUUGCGCAGGUCGUUUCGGCCUCUCCUCUGAGCAUGGUAUCUUCCGUGUGCUUUUUUGUGUGCUUUUGUGUGCGUGCGUUGUUCUCUUCCCCCCCCCCCUCCCCCCGUGACGGCUUUCUUUUGCUUUGGCUCGUUGCGGCGGCUGGGUGCAUGAAAAGGGUCUUGUUGCAUUC
Molecule: unclassified non-coding RNA, 1333 nt
Filed under: Leishmania donovani
Lineage: Eukaryota; Euglenozoa; Kinetoplastea; Trypanosomatida; Trypanosomatidae
Description: gene:unknown
Source: RNAcentral